This is a long non-coding RNA of Lolium rigidum, 848 nucleotides long. RefSeq lists it as uncharacterized. The transcript is spliced from 2 exons. NCBI's taxonomy places the organism in Eukaryota, Viridiplantae, Streptophyta, Magnoliopsida, Poales, Poaceae. The record is from RefSeq and is a predicted model, not a curated record.
UGCCCGACGACAGCCUGUGCACCAUGCGUCGGCGGCUGUGCAUCGCGUCCCUUUCUUCUUCAGGGAUUUACCAAAUUUACUUAAGUUUUUCAUUUGGUCUGUUUAGUUUUUUUUUGUGGGGGUCCAGCUGUUCAGUUUUGAUGCUGUGUUGGUCUGGAUUGCAUUCCAGACCAUUUUGGAGAUCGUUGUCAAUUGACCAUUUUCUUAGAUCCAAUAUUAUGCGCUGCAAUGGUGAUUGGGUCCUGAUGCUGCAGAUGUAAAAAAUGUGAUUUUUUAGUUGCUGCUUUUGGGAUUUGACGGAGGAGCAGCUGUCACAGGAGAAGAAGGAUGAGGAGGAUAUUUUCAUCUGGCGGUGGUGGCAGUCAAGCUUGCGCAUUGCGACAUCGUGAUCCAUUUUGGAGGAAGCUGAAACAUGCGCUGAGGAUCUCCGCCUGGAACAUCCACUUCUCCUCCUGCUCCCUGGCGUCCUCCUACAGCACCUGCGUGGCACGAGAUUAUGGUGGCGGCGAUUCCAGCCUUGACUCCAACCAUGGCUAGAUUCGUGGCCGAGAUCGACCCGGAUGGUGCCAGUCGUGGAUGGACACUUUGUGAGAUGCCGCUUCUGAGGAGGAUGAGGCCGACGACCUACAAAUGGAAAACCAGGCACCACAGGGGCACCGGCCAGCGGCACGAGCUGGGGAGAAAGUGGGUGGCACCGCUGGAGAAAAAGCGACAUGGGCUGCUCACCGUAGCUUUUCAUGUGAAUUGAAAAUUUGAUGUUUUUAAAUGUUUUUUGUCCAAUUGAUUCUGAUUUUCUAUGAUUUUAUUCGAAGUACUCUUUGGAAUGAUUAAAUGUUUUCGAUUUUUUA